RNAcentral lists this ribosomal RNA (460 nucleotides) under uncultured bacterium. RNAcentral describes it as "partial 16S ribosomal RNA". It matches the Rfam family "Bacterial small subunit ribosomal RNA", at positions 338 to 795 of the family's 1533-position model. The record is from RNAcentral.
CCUACGUGGGGCAGCAGUGAGGAAUAUUGGUCAAUGGGCGCGAGCCUGAACCAGCCAAGUAGCGUGAAGGAUGACUGCCCUACGGGUUGUAAACUUCUUUUAUAAAGGAGUAAAGUGAGGCACGUGUGCCUUUUUGUAUGUACUUUAUGAAUAAGGAUCUGCUAACUCCGUGCCAGCAGCCGCGGUAAUACGGAGGAUCCGAGCGUUAUCCGGAUUUAUUGGGUUUAAAGGGAGCGUAGGUGGGUUGUUAAGUCAGUUGUGAAAGUGUGCGGCUCAACCGUAAAAUUGCAAUUGAUACUGGCAGUCUUGAGUACAGGUGAGGUAGGCGGAAUUCGUGGUGUAGCGGUGAAAUGCUUAGAUAUCACGAAGAACACCGAUUGCGAAGGCAGCUUACUAAACUGCCACUGACAUUGAGGCUCGAAAGUGUGGGUAUCAAACAGGAUUAGAUACCCUAGUAGUC